GAGGGUCUGGGGCCAGACACAAAGGGGCUGCUCCCCAAUAUAUCUGUUAAAUGCAUGAGUGGGUGGGUGAUCAAAGUCAGCAACUCCUCAGGCCGGCUGGACCGAGGGAAGCAAGGACCCCUUCCUGAAGGCCGAGUUCCAACUCUUAACCACUGCGAGGACAGUCAAGUCAAGUCACCAAGACAGGACGGUCGGGCCCUGGGCCAAGCAUCCGCACACGCAUAGCCGCCCAGGCCAAGCCGCUCCGGAAGCGUGAUUCGCGUCUGUGGGACGGGAAGAAGCUUGGAGCUGGCGUGAGACCUGUGGCCGUUCCUUAACUCACAGGUGAUGUCCAACGGCACGGCACGUAGCUUGGUUCUGGAAAAGCUUCCGUUUUCCCAGGGGAUGGAAUGGAGGCCCAGAGGAGGUGGGUAGACUGAGGCCCCCAGGCCCUGGCCCCAUGGCCUCAGGCUUGGGGCAGAACCUGGCGUCCGUCUGUCCG
Microcebus murinus (gray mouse lemur) is the source of this 481-nucleotide non-coding RNA. The record is from RefSeq and is a predicted model, not a curated record. NCBI's taxonomy places the organism in Eukaryota, Metazoa, Chordata, Mammalia, Primates, Cheirogaleidae.